RNAcentral lists this ribosomal RNA (404 nucleotides) under uncultured bacterium. RNAcentral describes it as "bacterial SSU rRNA". It matches the Rfam family "Bacterial small subunit ribosomal RNA", at positions 355 to 776 of the family's 1533-position model. The record is from RNAcentral.
UGGGGAAUAUUGGACAAUGGGGGCAACCCUGAUCCAGCCAUGCCGCGUGAGUGAAGAAGGCCUUCGGGUUGUAAAGCUCUUUCGGCGGGGACGAUGAUGACGGUACCCGCAUAAGAAGCCCCGGCUAACUUCGUGCCAGCAGCCGCGGUAAUACGAAGGGGGCUAGCGUUGUUCGGAAUUACUGGGCGUAAAGCGCGCGUAGGCGGCGACCUUUGUCAGAGGUGAAAUCCCGAGGCUCAACUUCGGAAUUGCCUUUGAAACGGGGUUGCUUGAGUCCGAGAGAGGGUGGCGGAAUUCCUAGUGUAGAGGUGAAAUUCGUAGAUAUUAGGAAGAACACCGGUGGCGAAGGCGGCCACCUGGCUCGGUACUGACGCUCAGGCGCGAAAGCGUGGGGAGCAAACAGG